Molecule: ribosomal RNA, 484 nt
Filed under: uncultured bacterium
Lineage: Bacteria
Description: partial 16S ribosomal RNA
Rfam family: Bacterial small subunit ribosomal RNA
Source: RNAcentral
GAUGAACGCUGGCGGCGUGCUUAACACACGCAAGUCGAACGGUGAAGCAGGAGCUUGCUCUUGUGGAUCAGUGGCGAACGGGUGAGUAACACGUGAGCAACCUGCCCCUGACUCUGGGAUAAGCGCCGGAAACGGCGUCUAAUACUGGAUAUGUGAUGUGACCGCAUGGUCUGCAUCUGGAAAGAAUUUCGGUUGGGGAUGGGCUCGCGGCCUAUUAGCUUGUUGGUUAGGUAAUGGCUCACCAAGGCGUCGACGGGUAGCCGGCCUGAGAGGGUAACCGGCCACACUGGGACUGGGGCACGGCGCAGACGCCUUAGGGAGGCAGCAGUGGGGAAUAUUGCACAAUGUGCGGAAGCCUGAUGCAGCAACGCCGCGUGGGGGAUGACGGCCUUCGGGUUGUAAACCUCUUUUAGCAGGGAAGAAGCGAAAGUGACGGUACCUGCAGAAAAAGCACCGGCUAACUACGUGCCAGCCGCCGCAGUAA